UACGGAGGAUCCAAGCGUUAUCCGGAAUCAUUGGGUUUAAAGGGUCCGUAGGCGGUUUAGUAAGUCAGUGGUGAAAGCCCAUCGCUCAACGGUGGAACGGCCAUUGAUACUGCUGAACUUGAAUUACUGGGAAGUAACUAGAAUAUGUAGUGUAGCGGUGAAAUGCUUAGAUAUGACAUAGAACACCAAUUGCGAAGGCAGCUUGCUAACCGAAUAUUGACACUGAGGCACGAAAGCGUGGGGAUCAAACAGG
This 253-nucleotide ribosomal RNA is filed under the name uncultured bacterium. RNAcentral's name for it is "partial 16S ribosomal RNA". It matches the Rfam family "Bacterial small subunit ribosomal RNA", at positions 524 to 776 of the family's 1533-position model. The record is from RNAcentral.